RNAcentral lists this ribosomal RNA (445 nucleotides) under uncultured bacterium. RNAcentral's name for it is "partial 16S ribosomal RNA". It matches the Rfam family "Bacterial small subunit ribosomal RNA", at positions 354 to 796 of the family's 1533-position model. The record is from RNAcentral.
GUGAGGAAUAUUGGACAAUGGGCGCAAGCCUGAUCCAGCCAUGCCGCGUGCAGGAAGACGCAUCUAUGGUGUGUAAACUGCUUUUGUACGGGAAGAAACACUCCCUCGUGAGGGAGCUUGACGGUACCGUAAGAAUAAGGAUCGGCUAACUCCGUGCCAGCAGCCGCGGUAAUACGGAGGAUCCAAGCGUUAUCCGGAAUCAUUGGGUUUAAAGGGUCCGUAGGCGGUUUAAUAAGUCCGUGGUGAAAGCCAAUCGCUCAACGAUGGAACGGCCAUUGAUACUGUUAGACUUGAAUUACAAGGAAGUAACUAGAAUAUGUAGUGUAGCGGUGAAAUGCUUAGAUAUUACAGGGAAUACCAAUUGCGAAGGCAGGUUACUACUUGUGGAUUGACGCUGAUGGACGAAAGCGUGGGGAGCGAACAGGAUUAGAUACCCCUGUAGUCC